UUCGCUCGGGUGAUUUGGACCAUAGUUCAAGUAGCUUCAAAUUUAUACCCACCACGUAGUGCACGUAACAUAUUCGGCAACUGGUUGAGGGGUAUUGAUAAACAAUUUUCUGCACAUAUUCUUGUGGGGGCGACUGCCUUAUGCUGGGCAUUGUGGCUUAUCAGGAAUGAUGUGGUUUUUAAUAAAAAAUGUGUUUCAUCUCCUAUGCAGGUUAUUCAUGUAUGUACGCGAUGGCUUCGUAUUUGGUCUAUUCUGCAGAGGCCGGAGGACAUGACCUUUUUAUGA
Molecule: ribosomal RNA, 285 nt
Filed under: Triticum aestivum (bread wheat)
Lineage: Eukaryota; Viridiplantae; Streptophyta; Magnoliopsida; Poales; Poaceae
Description: partial small subunit ribosomal RNA
Source: RNAcentral